GAAAAAUAAAGUUUCCGAUGCCAAGAAACUGAAUGACAUAAAAAGAGACAUGGCCCAGCUAGAAUGGUAUAAGAAGAAAUCGGAAAUGGGUUACUACGAUUGCUUCAAAAACCAGGGGUCUAAAAGGGACCUCAACGUUGAACAGUUUAGGGGAAACCUCACAAUGUACUGGGAAGACAUGGUUGCACAAGUACAGAGGAAGCCCCAGGAGGAAGGAGCAACAUUUCGAACCCGUUGGUUCUAUGCAGGGACAGUUUAUAGGAGAAUGGUUGAACCACUGGACAUUGCUGCCUUCUAUAGAGAGGGUGGAACAGACUACAUAAACAAUGGAAGAUCUCUUCAUUACAAGCUGUUGCAGCAAUGGUAUGAAGAAGAUGUGAAACCCCCCUCUAGAGAUAAGCUUGAUUCCAAGAAGCAAAAGGUGUCUGGUAUCCUAACUGAGGAUUCUUUGUUUUGGGCACAUGUGGAGGAGGCCAUCUUGUCAUGCGAAUUGCUCAAGAGUAAAAACUGUACUCUUGAGCAGGGAAAAUCAUCAUGGGAUAAUCUAGUUAAGUUCGAGGAGUAUGUAAUGGAACAGAUUAACAACUAUGCAGCGUCCCCUGAGAUUUUCUUGCGGGAAAGCAGCUUCAUGAAAUGGUGGGGACUGUAUGAGGGCUACAUAGAUACUUGCAGUAAUUCCCAUGGGUCGCAAUUGAUCAACUUCAUGAAGAAACGUAGCUAUAUGAAGUAUGGUUAGAGGGGCAAUCCAGUUUGUGUGUUGUGUUUAUUGUUUUGUGAGCGUUCAAUGGAUAAAACUAGAAAGAGUGUGACCUUUUUCCCUUUUUCUUGGUUGCUGCCCAUAUUCUCAGCACUAUUUUCUUCCUUCUUUUCCUCUGUUUUUUUUGAUAGGAAAUGAAUAUUAUGAUGUUGCUGGGAUGCACUUNNNNNNNNNNNNNNNNNNNNNNNNNNNNNNNNNNNNNNNNNNNNNNNNNNNNNNNNNNNNNNNNNNNNNNNNNNNNNNNNNNNNNNNNNNNNNNNNNNNNAGGGGAAGAAAAACAUGUUUGUUUAGAUUCAACUCCACCAAAACUUGCAACAACUUCCCAUUGAAAAUUUCCUUUUAAGCUUCUGACUGACAUAAAACUAGAUAUGUUCCAGCUAGAACGGUACAAGAAAGAAAUCAAAAGAUGAGCACAAGUAGAGAGGAAGCCUCACCAGGAAGGGGCAGCUUUGCAAACCCUCUGGCUCUGUACAGGAACGAAUUAUAGAAAGAUGGUUGAACCACUUGACAUUGCUGCCUACCACAGAGAGGGUGGAAGACACUACAUAACCAAUGGAGGAUCUAAACAUUACACGCUAUUGGAGCAAUGAUGCAAUGAAGAGGAGAAGGGGGCUUUGUCUUCUCAUGCAAAUUGCUCUCAGAGCUCAGAACCUACUCCUGAAGGGAAAGAAUCAUCAUGGAGUGAUCUGGUUAAGUUUGAGGAUUUAUUUAUAUAAUUGAACUGAUUGGAAGCUAUGCAGUGUCGGCCCCCGCCCGAGCAGCUUCAUGAAACGGUGGAAAGAGUUGGAAGAAGUCAUAGAUACUUGCUAUAGGAGCUUCAUGAAGUAUGGAGAGGUGUGGCAUAGAUACUUGCAGUCUCUGAAUUUCCCAAAUCCAAUUUCAGAUUGUGUUUUUAGAUUCGUGGAACUUGUUUUCGGGCUUUUUGUUAGGUACAAUUGAGAUGGGCUGAACCGAAAGGCCCGCCAGGAUGAACAAUAUAAUGGGCCUGAAUUUUAAACCAGUGGAUGGGUUUUGUACUGGAUUCAGCUGUCUGAGCCCAAUGAGUAUUGAAUGUGUUUCUGUAUAAAAUUAAAUUUUUAACAUUGAAAUAUAAGGACUUACUUAAAAACACAUUUGGUAACUUUUUUUUUUUUUGGUUAAUAAUAAAUUUUUUUAAAAAAAAUUAAAAAUAUAUAAUUUUUUUAGAAUAAAUUUGAGGCAUGUUUAGGUAUUUUUUGUGGUAAAGAGUUUUGAGAAGCAAUGAGAAAUAUACAGAAUACUUUAAAAACUUUUGCAUAAGUAAGAUACUUACACGAGGCUUUUAUGAAAAAUAAAUCGAUAAAAACAAUUUUUAUAUUUGAAUUUCAAAACAUAAAACAACUUAGAACUGUUUUUAAAAACUGUUCUUAAAAAUAGUUUUCUAUUAACUCACAUUCAAGGAUGCUUUUAUCUUUUAUUUUUCUAUGUUUCAUCCUUGCAUAAAUGGAGUACAAAGUCGUAAGUUAAUCUAAUUAACAAAUAUAGAUAAUCAUCCGAUAAAUGAGUAAAUUAGGUGAUGAUCUCUUUAUAUAUGCAAGUAAUGGAAUGAAUGUGAUAAAAAAAUAAAAUAAAAAAGUAAGGGGAGAAAUGUUGUAAAUAAAAUGUUUUUAUUGUGGUUCAACGACCUAUCCACUUCCACACCUUGACAUAUUUCACAAUUUUAAAAGUUUUUUUAAUCAUGAUUCUCCUUAUUGUUCUUUAAGUCUGGAUUUCUUAAGUUUCAAUAGACUUUUACAAUCACUAAGAUGACGUUUGUUUUUUCACUUAAUUCUAAAUAUAAGUUAAAACUAAAUAAUAUUUAAUAAUAUCAAGUAUUAGGUUGUUUUUUUUAUAACAUUUUAUUUCUAUAUAAUAUUAAAAAGUAAAGAAAAAUCAGUAUGUUUUUUUUUUAUUUAAAAAAAGUCAAAUAUUUUGACUUUUUUUUAAGCUAAAAAUUUAUAAUAAAAAAUAAAAAAUAAACAAACAAACAAACAACUUGAAGUGUAAAAACAGAUUGUUUUCAAUAAAAAUUUUAAAAAAUAAACACCUUAUAAAUAAAAUUCCUUAACCACUCGUACAAUAGCUUCUUUAAGCACAAAAUGUAUUGAAGCGCUCACAAUGAAAAGAUAAACAAGUUUGGAUUUAAUAUAAUUUUGGGUUAUCUAAUUAAAAAGGUGUAGACCCCCGGAGGCAGACAGUUUUUUUAGUUAUUAUUAUUAUUUGUUUAUUUUUAAUUUUUCCUACCUUUUUCUUCCCAAGCCGCUCGACAUGAUGGGACUAAAGUGGGCUGGUUUUUGGGGCAGAGAGGGGACUCAAGUGGGCGUUUUUUUUUUUUUUUGGGCGGCAGAUGGGAUGGUGUACGGGGGAUGGCUUGUGGAGGAAGACUCAAAACAGGGGAAGGAAGCGAAAGAAAGGCAGGAAAAAAAGUGUUGGAGGACGGGGGGGAUACCUUGCUCAAGGAGAAAACUUUCAGGUAAAAUUUUCUGUGAACUCCAUGUUUCUUCGUUAUGACAUUAUUGUGCUCACUUCUUUUGUUGAUUCCAGGAUGUGAUUUGUUGGUCGGUUUGGAUGUCAUGGAUUAUUGGUUUAUUUUUGCUGAAUUUAUCCGUGUGCGGAGGUGCUCUGUUUGACUCUAUUCUGGUUUCCCUAACUCCUUCCAUAAGCACCUGAAUGUAUGAAUUCAUCCCUGAGCCCGAUUAUAUAAAAAUCAUGCUUUGUUCCCUGUGGUUUCUUCCCUCUGUUUGUUGCUCUAUUCCUUGUUGGUUGUGGGAAUGAGGUCAUCGAUGGCCAGGUUAUCGAAACUGGGGAAGUGACUUCGUGAACGGAUCACCUUCUAUGCACCCAUCUCAUCUUUCUCAUUCACUCAUCACGGCUACACUUCCAUGAUUACACCAUCCUCAGUCAAAUACAUAUCUCCAUACCCAUUUUUCACCUUUCCCGUACCUUCCUCACCUAUCCAUCACACCCAUCGUCAUAUCUAGUUCAUCACUAACCCAUUUUCCUCUCGCCAGCCGUGGUUAUGCUUCGUCCAUCUCAUGCAUACGAUCCCUCACUACUAUUCCUAUAUUCUCAUCCUUCCAAACUCCUCAACACAACACCUAACCCUCAUACCUGCACCCCGCCAUGCCCGCGCCUAGCUCACCCCCAUAGGAACCUCAAAGCCGUUCGCCUACUUGCAUGGGAGCCAUGCAUGCCGCCCCUCCCCGCGUCUUCCUGCACCGGCUAUGUGCGCGCCUGCACCAGCCACCAAUGGCGGCAGCGCCUUCUGGACGUCGCCAGGCCGCUGCCACCUGCUCCGGCAACGCGCGCGCCUGCACCAGCAGCCAUGGCGGCGGCACCUUCUGAACGUCACCAGACCGCCGCCACGGCUCCCCUCUUCCCCGCGCCGCCGCUGCUCCUCUUUUCCCCGCGCCGCCAUGGCUCUCCUCUUCAUCGUGCCGCCGGUGGAGUCUUCGCGGGUGGAGAGGCAAUUGGUGAAGAGAAGCUUUGCCCAUGAUGGUUUUUGGGCUUGGGUUUGAACUGGGAACCCAGGCCCAAGCCUAUGAAGAGAAGCCCAGGUUUAUGAAGGCUUUAAUUGCCUUGGGCUUGCCCAUUAAUAUCAUAUGGAUUGGGCUUGAUGAGGAUGGGGCUUAUUGGUGGAUUUGGGCUUGACUAGGUUUGGGCUUUAUUAGGGUUGCUGAUGGACUGGGUUUGGGCUCUAUUAUUAUUAUUAAUUCAACAUUUAAAAUACUAUUAUUAUCAUUGUUAUUAAUCAAACUUUUAAAAAUCUUAUUAUUACUAUUAUUAUUAUUACGUUUAUCAUUAUUAUUAUUUCUAUUCAACAUUUAAAAUAUUAUUAUCAUUAUUAUUAUUAAUUCAACAUUUAAAAUAUUAUUAUUAUCACUAUCAUUAAUCCAAACUUUCAAAACCCUAUAAUUAUUAUUACUAACCCAAAUUUCAAAAUCUAUUUAUUUAUUAUUAUUUAUUAUUAUCAUUAAUCCAAAUUUCAAAAUCUAUUUAUUAUUGUUAUCCUUAUCAUUAAACCCAACCUCCAAAAUCUCAUCAUUAUCAUUAUUAUUAAUUCAAACUUUCAACACCUAUUUAUUAUUAUUUAUUAUUAUCAUCAGUCCAAACCUCCAAGAUCUCAUCAUUAUUAUUAUAAUUAACUCAACUUUCAAAAUUUAUUUAUUAUUAUUAUCAUCAUUAAUCCAAGCUUUCAAAAAUCUCAUCAUUAUUGUUAUUAUUACCUCAACUUUCAAAAUCUUAUUUUUAUUAUUAUCAUUGAUUAAAACUUUCAAAACCUUAUUAUUAUUAUUAAUUCAAACUUUCUAACUUCCAAUUUCCAAGCCCAAUUUAUAAAAAUUCAACCUUCAAAUGAUACUCCAAAAUUCCGAUCUUUAAAACUCAAUUUCGAUUUCCGAAAAUUCUCAUACUCACUUUAAUCUAUUUAAUUAUUGUUAUUUUGAUUAUUUAUUUCAAAACCCCAUUUCAAAUCAAAUUCUCUAAAACUUCUGAUUCUCGAAUUAAAUUCCUAAUCCCAAAAAUUCUCAUGUUCGCACUAAAUUAUUUGAUCAUUGAUAUUUUAUUUAUUUAUUUAUUUCAAAACUCCAUUUUAAAUCAAAUUCUCUAAAACUUCUGAUUUCCGAAUUAAACUCCUAAUCCCAAAAAUUCUCAUGUUCUCAUUAAUUUAUUUAAUCAUUAGUAUUUUAUCUCCAUUUUAAAUCAACUCUUUAAAACUUCAGAUUUACAAAUUAAAUUCCUAAUCUUGAAAAUUCCCAUAUUCACAUUAAUUUAAUCACUAAUAGUUUGUUUAUUUAUCUUAAAAUUCUAUUUUAAACAAUUCUUUAAACUUUCUAACUUCUAAAUCUAAUUUCCAAUUUCAAAAAUUCCAGCAUUCCAUUCAUUUAUUUAAUCAUUAUUUUCGUCCUUAUUAUUAUUAGUCCAUUUAUUUACUUCAAAAUUUCAUUUUUAAACAUUUUUUUGAAUCCCAAUUUUCGAACUUAAUUUCCAAUUUCUAAAAUUCUAAUUUCCUUCAAGUUUGACAUCCCAAAAUUCCAACUCUUAAAUUUAAUUCUCAAGACUCCAAUCUUCAAAUAAUUUUCGAGACUCCAAUUUCCAAAUAAAUUUCAAAAAUUCAAUUUUCUCUCUAACAGUUUUAAUUCUCUUCGGGUUUCAAAUAAUCUUCGAUUUCUCUUGAUUUUAUAUAAACAUGAAUGCUAUUUUCAUAAUUCCAGAAUAAUGGGAUUUGUGAUAUUAAUUCCUGCAAAAAUGAAUGGGCUUUGGUGGGGGCCCAACAUACGUGCUUUCCUCAUGAUUGAUUGAUUGUUUGAUUGAUUUAAUUGCCAUGCGUGCUUGAUUUUAUUCUGCUCUAUGGCAUGCCCGAAAUUAUCCUUUAAUUGUGCACUAACCUCACUUUUUGAUAAGCGCAUUGUGGCUCGUCACCCAGGUACGUAUCUAUCCCCAUUCUGAUAUUUCCAUAUACAUGUUUUGAUUCUCCUAUGUGCAUGAUAGUUCCGGGUAUUCAUUGUUUUUCCUCAUCAAUUGCCAUGAUUGCUUCAUUUUAUUAGUAGAGACCCAUUUAGGGACUUAGAGGGGUGCUACGGUUCAUACCGUACCUUCCUGAUAAGUAACCUGACCCUCGGACCCGAUCCGGUUUUUCACAGACCACCUUUUCCAAAGUAAGGAGUCACACUUAGGGUUUUUCUUUCUUAUUUUGUUUACCCUUUUAAAAAUAAAACAAAAAUAAGUGGCGACUCCAAGUCAUUUUCUUAAACAAUAAAAAAUCAAAUUUUCAAAUAAAAAUCGAGUCCGCCAUUGAGUGGGAAACGCAUGAGCCGAAAUGCGGGGUCCACAAAAGGUCAUUGAAAACCCAAUUUUAGAAAUAUAACCCUUCAUCAUUUUUUUUAUCUCAUGUUAACAAAAAUGCUCUUAUUAUUUUCUUAUAAAAAUAAUCAUUUCUUUUAAAACACACUAUAAAUACUCCAAAUAGUCAGGGGCUUUUAUGUAUAAAAAAAUGAAUUACUCUUUAAAUAAAAAUAUUGGAGGGAAUAAAUUAACAAAUAUGAGGUAUUUCAUCCCUUUUAUCUAAUUAUUUCUAUAAUUUUAAGAGUUUAAGAAGGCUAGACAAAGACUAAUUAUUAGGCACAUUUUGUAAAAACACUAGUUAUUAGACACAUUUUUCGCUCAAUCAAUCAAUCACGGAGUUGACUAGACACUAAUUAUUGGACUUUUUUUUUUUUUUUUUUAUAAUAAGUGAAAGACAAGAAUACAAUCGACUACUUUGGUCAAUUAAACAAUCAUUCAGUUGACUAUAAACUAAUCUUUAGAUUUUUUUUUUUAUAAUAAUUGGAAGACAUGAAUACAAUCGAUUACUUUGAUUAAUUAAUCAAUUAUUCAAGAAAUUUAGAAAAAUAUUGGAUAAAAGAUAUAUAUAACGGAUUAUUUCAAAUUGAAACUUAAGAUUAUAAAUCUUACUUUUAAUGUUGAAAAAUCAUGUAAAACACAAGUUUUUAUCUUUGAAGUAAUCAAUUUCAUUUUUCACAAAAAAUCAUUAAUAAUGCAUGAAUGAAUUCUUUUAAAAAAUCUUAUAAAAAAUGUGAUUAUUUUUCAUUCCCAAAUACUUAGGUUCUAAAGAUCAAUUUUAAAGCAUACUUAUCCUUACUAUGCCUUACAAGAAAAUCUAUUCUAUACAUAUGAUCUUGUAAAAAAAUGUAAAUAAAAAAAUAAAAUAAAAUAAAAAGAAAAAAAAAAGCCUCUCUUGUUUUCCUCUUUUGACUGGAUAUCAUUACCAUACCUAAAAUUAAAUAUUUAAUUAAAAUAUUAUUUUACUAUCAUCAAAAUUUAGAUUUAACCAAACUUUAGGCUAGUAUGUUGAUACGAUAAGUUAAUUUUCUAUCUUAAAGUUUUAAAAACUUUUGAAAUUAAACAUUUUCUUACACAUUUAUUUUUAAAGUUUUUUAGCAUAAAAUUUAAAAUUGAAGCUUUUAAGGGAAAACCUCAUAAUAUAAUAUACUAGAAAGACAUGGUCAAACAAAUAGAGACGAAGCCUCAAAAGGAAGGGGCAAUGGUUGAACCACUUGACAUUGUUGCCUACUACUAAGAUGGUGUAAGAAACAACAUAACCAAUGGAACAUAUGCACAUUAAACAUUGUACAAUUAUUAUAAAUGUCUUAUACAUUAUGUGUGAAAAUACGAAAUAAAUAAAUAAAAUUAUAUUCAACAUUUAUAUUUGUAUACAAACAAUAUUUUCGAUAGUUUGAUAUAAAAAAACAAAUAAAAAAAUGAAGAAAAGCAUAUAAAUAUAUUUUCAAUGGACAAACUUAUUCAAUUAGUAUAAAUAUCUUGUAUAUUUAAUACAAAUACCUUAUACUUUGUGAAAAUGUAAAAAUAUAGUAUUUGAUAUUUAUAAAUGUGGGUAAGUAAUUUUUCUAAUGGUUUGAUUUAAAAAAAAAAUAAUGAGAAUCAAGAAAUACAUGCAAAUAAAUUAGUGUGAAUGAUAAAGGAUGUUUUUUUACCAUAAAUUUUCAUGGACUUAGCAUCAAUUAUGCAUCUAUAGAUGUUAACCCAAUUAGCAUAAUGUGAAAACCCUUACACACAAUAUAUAAACCCUAUACUUGAAUUAGGAAGGACAAAAAAAAAAUAGUUAGAGCAUUUGGUACCAUCAAUGAUGACUUCACCUAAAGAAAAGUUAAUGAACAUUAUGUUCUCAAUGGAAGAGCAACCCUAGUAGGACAUAUGGAGUAAAUUGAUGCUCUUCUUUCGACAACGAAGUAGCUAAGUCAUGAAAAUGGGGUUUUGCUAACAACAUUAAAUGCAAGAAUUCCCCAAUAUACUGCAAUUCAUAUUCAAUUCAUAGACUUUCAACUAACUACUCUCAAUAACGAGCAAACCCAAGUCAAUACAUAAGAUUGAUUAUUACUUAUGAUAAUUGAAACCAUAAUUAAUAAGACAUAUAUAUAUAUAUAUAUAUAUAUAUAUAUAUAUAUAUAUAUAUAUAUAUAUAUAUAUAUAUAUAUAUAUAUAUAUAUAUAUAUAAAAAAAAUAGAGACAAUUGUGUUUUGGAUCCAGGUGGAUCAAAAAAUAAGGUUUGGUUUAUAGAACUUACAUAAUUGAUGGAAAUGAUAUAAGUUAUCAAAAGACCAAAAUACUCAUUGACCUUUCACGUAAGUUUUUUUGGUCUUUAUUGUACCACUAUUCAUGCAACCAUAAUAAUUUUAUUUUAACUAUUUGGAUUUUUCAUUGUUUUUUAAAACUUUUUUUUUUAUAAAUAAUUGAAAAUCAACAUUAUUUUCUAUUUUAAAUUAUAAAUAAAGAAAAAUUACGUUCAAAAACUAUUUUAAAAAAUACUUUCUAAAAAAAUGGUAAUAUGAUUUAUAUUUUUUACAUUUUCUAUUAGAAAAAAAUAUUUAAUUAAAAAUGAAAAAUAAUUUUUAAAAAUAAAAAUUGAAAACCUUGUUUAGUACUAUUUUUUUAUAUGAAAAUAAUAAAAAUAAUUAAAUUUCAUUAAUUGAUUAUCCAUUAAAUUUUAUAUGAAAAUUUUUUAUAAGAGUAAAAAGAUUCAAUAUCUUUAAAAAAAGAAAAAAAAAACAAAACAAAACAAUAAGUUAGAAAUGAGUAAUACUUAAUUGGGAAUAGAAAAGGGGAAAAAAUUGAAAUUUACACUCAUUAUAUGCCUAUGUAGGGAUUAAAGGUAUUUUAGGGAUUAAUGAAGGAUAAUAUCCUUUAACUUAAUUUUUAUAAUUUAUUUGGGUCUUGACCUUAAAUGUGCAUGAUAUAUGGAUCUUUGGUCAAUUUUUGGGCCCAUUCGGGCCCAAAAUACAAUUCUCCCUACAAAAAUAUUUAUUAAAAUAAAUUAAUUAAUAAAAGCCAUUUAAAGAGUUUCAUAACUUAGUAUCGAAGCUAUUGUAAGAAAAAAGUAUUAUAUAAUGUAGGGUUUAGGUUCAAAGUCUACCUAAGAUUAAAUUUAAGUCUCGAGACAAAUUCACAUUCAAAACUAGGUUUUUAAGUUUGAAAAAUAGAUCCCUUAAACAAAUUAAAUGGUAAAAAAUAAUUACAAAGAAAAUUUCUCUAGCUGGUUUCUUCAUCUUGAAAACUAACGGAAACAUAUAUUAAUAUUUGGUAUGAAAAUUCGUAACCUUAGAAACACAGCUUUGAGUCUUGCUGAGAAAAACAAAGCUUAUUUGCUCGUAGACCAUCGUAGUGGUCGUCAUACCGUGUGAGGACCGGGGAAGCAUCUUUGCUCGUAGACCGGCUUUUGUAGUCUUUCUUUAACAAUUACAAGUUGUCAGGAUUCCCUUCAUCCUCCCAAAUAAUAUUGUUUUUGGUCUUGUUCUGGUUGCAUCUCCGUGGAAGGAAAGAAGAUGAAUCAAGUUCCUUUGUAAGUAUCAAUGUCUCUGAUUCAUUUUUUGGUUCCUAGAAUCGAAUCCUCGCUCUGUUCUUGCUUAAUUUCUCCUUUUUCUGUUGGGUCUUUCACUGCAGGUUUAGCUCUGCACGGGAACUGGCAAAUUUGGUGCUGAGCUCCAAUCUAAUCGACUGUGCUUUCACCAAAAUUCUUGAACUUAAGAGAGGCCAAACAGCCUUGCCUGUUCAAUACAGACUUUAUCAACUGUCUUCCAAGUGCACAAUUGUAGCUUUUGUCUCUUCACCUGACUGCACUCAAUACCCUCUUCCUGGACAAGGAGAUUUAGAUCGGUCUCCUCUCUUUGACUUCCUCCGUACCGAAGAAUACCCGUCCGUCUCCAUUAACAGAGCAGCAUUAGCCCUCUAUACCCCUCUCCAUGAUCAUCUCUCUGGACUAACAGAUGAGGUCAAAAUCUGAUACUUGUUUGAAUUUUCGUUUCCUUUUCGUUAACAAUUGUGAGACACGAAACAGCUUGACCAUGAGAUCUCCCUCAUGGAGUCGAACUACCUGAAGGAUAAGACGUCACACAUAUCCAUUUUCAUGGCAUCGUCACAUGACCCAUUGAUCGGUUGUGAUUCAACUCUUAAUAGGAACACAGUAGAACUGGUGUUGGUAUAUCUGUCUUUAGAUAAGCUUGCAUAUAUCUUGUCACUGAAAAAGGAAUGUUCAGAAGUGAGAUUAGUGGCAUUAUUCUGACAUGGAUUUCAUAUGGUUACUUGUUUUGCAGUUGACUCAGAUUGAAGGUCAGUUAAUCAUCACUGGGCACUCCCUGGGAGGAUCCGUUGCUUCUCUCUUCACCUUACGCCUGCUAGAUGGCAAUUUAUUAAAACCCAAAUGCCGCCCCUUUUGUAUCACCUUUGGUUCACCCCUCAUAGGCGACUUUGGCCUCCAACACUCCAUAUGGAAUUCUUUCUUCCUGCAUGUAGUGUCUAACCAAGACCCAGUCCCCGGACUCUUCCUCCCAUCCGGCAGAUCUCCGCCCACAUCCUCCCAUUCACAAACUACCGGUUACAAGCCCUUUGGGACAUAUCUCUUGUGCUCUGAACUUGGUUGUGCUUGUUUUGACAACCCUGAUUUAAUUUUGGGAUUGCUUAAAGUCAUAUCAUCAGAGGUUGCCGGAGGAUUGCAGGAUGUUGACUAUGGGGAGAUUUUAAGAAACCUCAAGGAGAGGGCAAUCUGCAAGGGACUGCCGCAGGUGGGUGAACGGUUUGCAGAUCCAUUUUCAGCUGGGAUCAUCAUGGAACUUGAGACAAUUGGAUUUAAUCAAACAAAGGUAAACAGCUUUCUCCCAUCUAAUGAUGUUAUGAAACAUGGUUUACACUACACCAAAUACUGCAAUAACUGCCCUAUUCAGAUUUAUCUUCUUGUUCUUUGGGAUCUUCCAUAACUAGUCUCAUUUUUAAAAUUCAUGGCAGUUGCUGCAGCAUAACAUUGAUAUCAACGCUAUGAUAAGAACAAUGGAAGCGGAAACCAGAAGCCUAAUCCAGAAAAAUAAAGCUUCCGAUGCCAAGAAACUGAAUGACAUAAAAAGAGACAUGGCCCAUCUAGAAUGGUAUAAGAAGAAAUCGGAAAUGGGUUACUACGAUUGCUUCAAAAAUCAGGGGUCUAAAAGGGACAUCAACGUUGAACAAUUUAGGGGAAACCUCACAAUGUACUGGGAAGACAUGGUUGCACAAGUACAGAGGAAGCCCCAGAAGGAAGGAGCAACAUUUCGAACCCGUUGGUUCUAUGCAGGGACAGUUUAUAGGAGAAUGGUUGAACCACUGGACAUUGCUGCCUUCUACAGAGAGGGUGGAACAGACUACAUAAACAAUGGAAGAUCUCUUCAUUACAAGCUGUUGCAGCAAUGGUAUGAAGAAGAUGUGAAACCCCCCUCUAGAGAUAAGCUUGAUUCCAAGAAGCAAAAGGUGUCUGGUAUCCUAACUGAGGAUUCUUUGUUUUGGGCACAUGUGGAGGAGGCCAUCUUGUCAUGCGAAUUGCUCAAGAGUCAAAACUGUACUCUUGAGCAGGGAAAAUCAUCAUGGGAUAAUCUGGUUAAGUUCGAGGAGUAUGUAAUGGAACAUAUUAACAACUAUGCAGCGUCCCCUGAGAUUUUCUCGAGGGAAAGCAGCUUCAUGAAAUGGUGGGGACUGUAUGAGGGCUACAUAGAUACUUGCAGUAAUUCCCAUGGGUCGCCAUUGAUCAACUUCAUGAAGAAACGUAGCUAUAUGAAGUAUGGUUAGAGGGGCAAUCCAGUUUGUGUGUUGUGUUUGUUGUUUUGUGAGCGUUCAAUGGAUAAAACUAGAAAGAGUGACCUUUUUCCCUUUUUCUUGGUUGCUGCCCAUAUUCUCAGCACUAUUUUCUUCCUUCUUUUCCUCUGUUUUUUUGUUAAGAAAUGAAUAUUAUGAUGUUGCUGGGAUGCACUUUCAUUGUUGUUCUAUUACAUUGUGUUUUAUUUAUAUCCUAAACAAAUAAAUCAAAACAAGAAAAUCAAAUAAGACUUAAAGAGUCUUUUCCUUCAAAAAAAAAAAUGGGGAAAAAGAAAAACAUUUUUGUUUAGAUUCAACUCCACCAAAACUUGCAACAACUUCCCAUUGAAAAAUUCCUUUUAAGCUUCUGAAUGAUAUAAAACCAGAUAUGUUCCAGCUAGAAUGGUACAAGAAAGAAAUCAAAAGAUGAGUACAGUGGGUUAUUAUGACAGCUUUAGAAACCUGGGGUGUAAAAGAGACAUUAAAAUGGAACCGAUGGGAAGACAUGGUAGAACACGUAGAGAGGAAGCCUCACCAGGAAGGGGCAGCUUUGCAAACCCUCUGGCUCUGUACAGGAACGAAUUAUAGAAAGAUGGUUGAACCACUUGACAUUGUUCCCUACCACAGAGAGGGUGGAAGACACUACAUAACAUUACACGCUAUUGGAGCAAUGAUGCAAUGAAGAGGAGAAGGGGGCUUUGUCUUCUCAUGCAAAUUGCUCUCAGAGCUCAGAACCUACUCCUGAAGGGAAAGAAUCAUCAUUGAGUGAUCUGGUUAAGUUUGAGGAUUUAUUUAUAUAAUUGAACUGAUUGGAAGCUAUGCAGUGUCGGCCCCCGCCCGAGCAGCUUCAUGAAACGGUGGAAAGAGUUGGAAGAAGUCAUAGAUACUUGCUAUAGGAGCUUCAUGAAGUAUGGAGAGGUGUGGCAUAGAUACUUGCAGUCUCUGAAUUUCCCAAAUCCAAUUUCAGAUUGUGUAUUUAGAUUCGUGGAACUUGUUUUCUUGCUUUUUGUUAGGUACAAUUGAGAUGGGCUGAACCGAAAGGCCCGCCAGGAUGAACAAUAUAAUGGGCCUGAAUUUUAAACCAGCGGAUGGGCUUUGUACUGGAUUCAGCUGUCUGAGCCCAAUGAGUAUUGAAUGUAUUUCUGUAUAAAAUUAAAUUUUUAACAUUGAAAUAUAAGGACUUACUUAAAAACACAUUUGGUAACUUUUUUUUUUUUAUGGUUAAUAAUAGAUUUAAAAAAAAAUUAAAAAUAUAUAAUUUUUUAGGAUAAAUUUGAGGCAUGUUUAGGUAUUUUUCGUGGUAAAGAGUUUUGAGAAGCAAUGGGAAAUAUACAGAAUACUUUAAAAACUUUUGCAUAAGUAAGAUACUUACACGAGGCUUUCAUGAAAAAUAAAUUGAUAAAAACAAUUCUCAUAUUUAAAUUUCGAAACAUAAAACAACUCAGAACUGUUUUUAAAAAUUGUUCUUAAAAAUAGUUUUCUAUUAAGUCACAUUCAAGGAUGCUUUUAUCUUUUAUUUUUCUAUGUUUCAUCCUUGCAUAAAUGGAGUACAAAGACAUAAGUUAAUCUAAUUAACAAAUAUAGAUAAUCAUCCGAUAAAAGAGUAAAUUAGGUGAUGAUCUCUUUAUAUAUGCAAGUAAUGGAAUGAAUGUGAUGAAAAAUAAAAUAAAAAAGUAAGGGGAGAAAUGUUGUAAAUAAAGUGUUUUUAUUGUAGUUCAACGACCUAUCCACUUCCGCACCUUGACAUAUUUCACAAUUUUAAAAGUUUUCUUAAUCAUGAUUCUCUUUAUUAUUCUUUAAGUCCGGAUUUCUUAUGUUUCAAUAGACUUUUACAAUCACUAAGAUAGUGUUUGUUUUUUCACUUAAUUCUAAAUAUAACUUAAAACUAAAUAAUAUUUAAUAAUAUCAGGAUUAGGUUGUUUUUUUUAUAACAUUUUAUUUCUAUAUAAUAUUAAAAAGUAAAGAAAAAUCAAUAUAUUAUUUUUUUCAUUUAAAAAAAGUCAAAUAUUUUGACUUUUUUUUAAGCUAAAAAUUUAUAAUAAAAAAUAAAAAACAAACAAACAAACAAACAACUUAAAGUGUAAAAAUAGAUUGUUUUCAAUAAAAAUUUAAAAAAAAACAAACACCUUCUAAAUAAAAUUCCUUAACCACUCGUUCAAUAGCUCCUUUAAGCACAAAAUGUAUUGAAGUGCUCACAAUGAAAAGAUAAACAAGUUUUGAUUCAAUAUAAUUUUGGGUUAUCUAAUUAAAAGGGUCAUUGAAAACCCAAUUUUAGAAAUAUAACCCUUCAUCAUUUUUUUAUCUCGUGUUAACAAAAAUGCUCUUAUUAUUUUCUUAUAAAAAUAAUCAUUUCUUUUAAAACACACUAUAAAUACUCCAAAUAGCCAAGGGCUUUUAUGUAAAAAAAAAUGAAUUACUCUUCAAAUAAAAAUAUUGGAGGGAAUAAAUUCACAAAUAUGAGGUAUUUCAUCCCUUUUAAAUAAUUAUUUCUAUAAUUUUAAGAGUUUAAGAAGGCUAGACAAAGACUAAUUAUUAGGCACAUUUUGUAAAAACACUAGUUAUUAGACACAUUUUUUGCUCAAUCAAGCAAUCACACAGUUGACUAAACACUAAUUAUUGGACUUUUUUUUUUUAUAAUAAGUGGAAGACAAGAAUACAAUCGACUACUUUGGUCAAUUAAGCAAUCAUUCAGUUGACUAUAAACUAGUCUUUAGACAUUUUUUUUUAUAAUAAUUGGAAGACAUGAAUACAAUCGAUUACUUUGGUCAAUUAAUCAAUUAUUCAAGAAAUUUAGAAAAAUAUUGGAUAAAAGAUAUAUAUAACGGAUUAUUUCAAAUUGAAACUUAAGAUCAUAAAUCUUACUUUUAAUGUUGAAAAAUCAUGUAAAACACAAGUUUUUAUCUUUGAAGUAAUCAAUUUCAUUUUUCACAAAAAAUCAUUAAUAAUACAUGAAUGAAUUCUUUUAAAAAAAUCUUAUAAAAAAUGUGAUUAUUUUUCAUUCCCAAAUAUUUAGGUUCUAAAGGUCAAUUUUAAAGCAUACUUAUCCUUACUAUGCCUUACAAGAAAAUCUAUUCUAUACAUAUGAUCUUGUAAAAAACUGUAAAUAAAAAAGAAAAAAAGAAAAAAAACCUCUCUUGUUUUCCUCUUUUGAUUGGAUAUCAUUAUCAUACUUAAAAUUAAAUAUUUAAUCAAAAUAUUAUUUUACUAUCAUCAAAAUUUAGAUUUAACCAAACUUUAGGCUAGUAUGUUGAUACGACAAGUUAAUUUUCUAUCUUAAAGUUUUAAAAACUUUUGAAAUUAAACAUUUUCUUACACAUUUAUUUUUAAAGUUUUUAGCAUAAAAUUUAAAAUUGAAGCUUUUAAAGGAAAACCUCAUAAUAUAAUAUACUAGAAAGACAUGGUCAAACAAAUAGAGACGAAGCCUCAAAAGGAAGGGGCAAUGGUUGAACCACUUGACAUUGUUGCCUACUACUAAGAUGGUGUAAGAAACAACAUAACCAAUGGAACAUAUGCACAUUAAACAUUGUACAAUUAUUAUAAAUGUCUUAUACAUUAUGUGUGAAAAUACCAAAAAAAAAGAAAAAUUAUAUUCAACAUUUACAUUUGUAUACAAACAAUGUUUUCGACAAUUUGAUAUAAAAAACAAAUAAAAAAAAUAAAGAAAAACAUACAAAUAUAUUUACAAUGGACAAACUUAUUCAAUUAGUAUAAAUAUCUUGUAUAUUUAAUACAAAUACCUUAUACUUUGUGAAAAUGUAAAAAUAUAGUAUUUAAUAUUUAUACAUGUGGGUAAGUAAUUUUUCUAAUGGUUUGAUUUAAAAAACAAAUAAUGAGAAUCAAGAAAAACAUGCAAAUAAAUUAGUGUGAAUGAUAAAGGGUGUUUUUUACCAUAAAUUUUCAUGGACUUAGCAUCAAUUAUGCAUCUAUAGAUGUUAACCCAAUUAGCAUAAUGUGAAAACCCUUGCACACAAUAUAUAAACCCUAUACUUGAAUUAGGAAGGACAAAAAAAAAAUAGUUAGAGCAAUUGGUACCAUCAAUGAUGACUUCACCUAAAGAAAGGUUAAUGAACAUUAUGUUCUCAACGGAGAGCAACUCUGGUAGAACAUAUGGAGUAAAUCAAUGCCCUUCUUUUAACGAUGAAGUAGCUAAGUCAUGAAAACAAGGUUUUGCUAACAACAUUAAAGGCAAGAAUUCCCCCAAUAUACUCCAAUUCAUAUUCAAUUCACAGACCUUCAACUAACUACUCUCAGUAACGAGCAAACCCAAGUCAAUACAUAAGAUUGAUUAUUACUUAUGAUAAUUGAAACCCUAAUUAAAUAAAUAAGGACACAAAUAUAUAUAUAUAUAUAUAGGGACAGUUGUGUUUUGGACCUAGGUGAACCCAAAAAUUAAGGUUUGGUUUAUAUAACUUACAUAAUUGAUGAAAAUGAUAUAAGAUAUCAAAAUAUCAAAAUACUCAUUGACCUUUCACAUAAGCUUUUUUGGUAUUUAUUGCACUACUAUUCAUUCAACCAUAAUAAUUCUAUUUUAACUAUUUGGAUUUUUCAUUGUUUUUUAAAACUUUUUAUUUAUAAAUAAUUGAAAAUCAACAUUAUUUUCUAUUUUAAAUUAUAAAUAAAGAAAAAUUACGUUCGAAAACUAUUUUAAAAAAUACUUUCUAAAAAAAAUGGUAAUAUGAUUUAUAUUUUUUAUAUUUUCUUUUAGAAAAAAAUAUUUAAUUAAAAAAUGAAAAAUAUUUUUAAAAAUAAAAAUUGGAAACCUUGUUUAGUACUAUUUUUUUUAUAUAAAAAUAAUAAAAAUAAUUAAAUUUCAUUUAUUGAUUAUCCAUUAAAUUUUAUAUGAAAAUUUUGUAUAAGAGUAAAAAGAUUCAAUAUCUUUAAAAAAAGAAAAAAAAAACAAAACAAAAAGUUAGAAAUGAGUAAUACUUAAUUGGGAAUAGAAAAUGGGAAAAAUUUUGAAAUUUACACUCACUAUAUGUCUACGUAGGGAUUAAGGGUAUUUUAGGGAUUAAUGAAGGAUAAUAUCUUUUAACUUAAUUUUUACAUUUUAUUUGGGUCUUGGGAUUAAAUGUACAUUAUAUAUGGAUCUUUGGUUAAUUUUUGGACCCAUCCGGACCCAAAACACAAUUCUCCAUAAAAAAAUAUUUAUUAAAAUAAAUAAAUUAAUAAAAACCAUUUAGAGAGUUUCAUAACUUAGGUGGUGUUUGUUUUUUUGGCUUUUUGGUGAAAACCAUUUAGUUUUAGAAUUUAGGUUGUUUGUUUUUUUACUUUUUCAUGACUUAUUAUAAACUUUUUACAAAAUAGAAAAAGCCAAAAUAUAUGACUUUUUCUAAAUAGAAAAAUAACACAAUGGUUUUUUUUACUUUUUAAUACUUAAUAGAAAUAAAAUAUUAUAAAAACAAACAACCUAAUAUUUAAUACUAUUAAGUAUUAAAGUUCUAUUUAGAAUUAAGUAAAAAAACAAACACCACCUAAGUGUCGAAGCUAUUGUAAGAAAAAAGUAUUAUAUAAUGUAGGGUUUAGGUUCAAAGUCUACCUAAGAUUAAAUUUAAGUCUUAAGACAAAUUCACAUUCAAAACUAGGUUUUUAAGUUAGAAAAAUAGACCCCUUAAACCAAUUAAAUGGUAAAAAAAAAUUACAAAGAAAAUUUCUCUAGCUGGUUUCUUCAUCUUGAAAACUAACGGAAACAUAUAUCAAUAUUUGGUAUGAAAAUUCGUAACCUUAGAAACACAGCUUUGAGUCUUGCUGAGAAAAACAAAGCUUAUUUGCUCGUAGACCAUCGUAGUGGUCGUCAUACCGUGUGAGGACCGGGGAAGCAUCUUUGCUCGUAGACCGGCUUUUGUAGUCUUUCUUUAACAAUUGCAAGUUGUCAGGAUUCCCUUCAUCCUCCUAUAUAAUAUUGUUUUUGGUCUUGUUCUGGUUGUAUCUCCGUGGAAGGAAGGAAGAUGAAUCAAGUUCCUUUGUAUGUAUCAAUGUCUCUGAUUCAUUUUUUGGUUCCUAGAAUCGAAUCCUCGCUCUGUUCUUGCUUAAUUUCUCCUUUUUCUGUUGGGUCUUUCACUGCAGGUUUAGCUCUGCACGGGAACUGGCAAAUUUGGUGCUGGCCUCCAAUCUAAUCGACUGUGCUUUCACCAAAAUUCUUGAACUUAAGAGAGGCCAAACAGCCUUGCCUGUUCAAUACAGACUUUAUCAACUGUCUUCCAAGUGCACAAUUGUAGCUUUUGUCUCUUCACCUGACUGCACUCAAUACCCUCUUCCUGGACAAGGAGAUUUAGAUCGGUCUCCUCUCUUUGACUUCCUCCGUACCGAAGAAUACCCGUCCGUCUCCAUUAACAGAGCAGCAUUAGACCUCUUUACCCCUCUCCAUGAUCAUCUCUCUGGACUAACAGAUGAGGUCAAAAUCUGAUACUUGUUUGAAUUUUCGUUUCCUUUUCGUUAACAAUUGUGAGACACGAAACAGCUUGACCAUGAGAUCUCCCUCAUGGAGUCGAACUACCUGAAGGAUAAGACGUCACACAUAUCCAUUUUCAUGGCAUCGUCACAUGACCCAUUGAUCGGUUGUGAUUCAACUCUUAAUAGGAAUACAGUAGAACCGGUGUUGGUAUCUGUCUUUAGAUCAGCUUGCAUAUAUCUUGUCACUGAAAAAGGAAUGUUCAGAAGUGAGAUUAGUGGCAUUAUUCUGACAUGGAUUUCAUAUGGUUACUUGUUUUGCAGUUGACUCGGAUUGAAGGUCAAUUAAUCAUCACUGGGCACUCCCUGGGAGGAUCCGUUGCUUCUCUCUUCACCUUACGCCUGCUAGACGGCAAUUUAUUAAAGCCCAAAUGCCAUCCCUUUUGUAUCACCUUUGGUUCACCCCUCAUAGGCGACUUUGGCCUCCAAGACUCCAAAUGGAAUUCUUUCUUCCUGCAUGUAGUGUCUAACCAAGACCCAGUCCCCGGACUCUUCCUCCCAUCCGGCAGAUCUCCGCCCACAUCCUCCCAUUCACAAACUACCGGUUACAAGCCCUUUGGGACAUAUCUCUUGUGCUCUGAACUUGGUUGUGCUUGUUUUGACAACCCUGAUUUAAUUUUGAGAUUGCUGAAAGUCAUAUCAUCAGAGGUUGCCGGAGGAUUGCAGGAUGUUGAUUAUGGGGAGAUUUUAAGAAACCUCAAGGAGAGGGCAAUCUGCAAGGGACUGCCGCAGGUGGGUGAACGGUUUGCAGAUCCAUUUUCAGCUGGGAUCAUCAUGGAACUUGAGACAAUUGGAUUUAAUCAAACAAAGGUAAACAGCUUUCUCCCAUCUAAUGAUGUUAUGAAACAUGGUUUACACUUCACCAUAUACUGCAAUAACUGCCCUAUUCAGAUUUAUCUUCUUGUUCUUUGGGAUCUUCCAUAACUCGUCUCAUUUUUAAAAUUCAUGCCAGCUGCUGCAGCAUAACAUUGAUAUCGACGCUAUGAUAAGAACAAUGGAAGAGGAAACCAGAAGCCUAAUCCAGAAAAAUAAAGCUUCCGAUGCCAAGAAACUGAAUGACAUAAAAAGAGACAUGGCCCAUCUAGAAUGGUAUAAGAAGAAAUCGGAAAUGGGUUACUACGAUUGCUUCAAAAACCAGGGGUCUAAAAGGGACAUCCACGUUGAACAGUUUAGGGUAAACCUCACAAAAUACUGGAAAGACAUGGUUGCACAAGUACAGAGGAAGCCCCAGAAGGAAGGAGCAACAUUUCGAACCCGUUGGCUCUAUGCAGGGACAGUUUAUAGGAGAAUGGUUGAACCACUGGACAUUGCUGCCUUCUACGGAGAGGGUAAAACAGACUACAUAAACAAGAAAAGAUCUCUUCAUUACCAGCUGUUGCAGCAAUGGUAUGAGGAAGAUGUGAAACCCCCCUCUAGAGAUAAGCUUGAUUCCAAGAAGCAAAAGGUGUCUGGUAUCCUAACUGAGGAUUCUUUGUUUUGGGCAUAUGUGGAGGAGGCCAUCUUGUCAUGCGAAUUGCUCAAGAGUCAAAACUGUACUCUUGAGCAGGGAAAAUCAUCAUGGGAUAAUCUGGUUAAGUUCGAGGAGUAUGUAAUGGAACAGAUUAACAACUAUGCAGCGUCCCCUGAGAUUUUCUCGAGGGAAAGCAGCUUCAUGAAAUGGUGGGGACUGUAUGAGGGCUACAUAGAUACUUGCAGUAAUUCCCAUGGGUCGCCAUUGAUCAACUUCAUGAAGGAUCGUAGGUAUAUACAGUAUGGACGUUAGAGGGGCAAUCCAGUUUGUGUGUUGUGUUUGUUGUUUUGUGAGCGUUCAAUGGAUAAAACUAGAAAGAGUGUGACCUUUUUCCCUUUUUCUUGGUUGCUGCCCAUAUUCUCAGCACUAUUUUCUUCCUUCUUUUCCUCAGUUUUUUUUGUUAAGAAAUGAAUAUUAUGAUGUUGCUGGGAUGCACUUUCAUUGUUGUUCUAUUAAAUUGUGUUUUAUUUAUAUCCUAAACAAAUAAAUGUAAACAAGAAAAUCAAAUAAGACUUCAAAGAGUCUUUUCCUUCAAAAAAAAAAAAAAUGGGGAAAAAGAAAAACAUUUUUGUUUAGAUUCAACUCCACCAAAACUUGCAACAACUUCCCAUUGAAAAAUUCCUUUUAAGCUCUGAAUGACAUAAAACUAGAUAUGUUCCAGCUAGAAUGGUACAAGAAAGAAAUCAACAGAUGAGAACAAUGGGUUAUUAUGACAGCUUCAGAAACCUGGGGUGUAAAAGAGACAUUAAAAUGGAACCGAUGGGAAGACAUGGUAAAACACGUAGAGAGGAAGCCUCACCAGGAAGGGGCAGCUUUGCAAACCCUCUGGCUCUGUACAGGAACGAAUUAUAGAAAGAUUGUUGAACCACUUGACAUUGCUGCCUACCACAGAGAGGGUGGAAGACACUACAUAACCAAUGGAGGAUCUAAACAUUACACGCUAUUGGAGCAAUGAUGCAAUGAAGAGGAGAAGGGGGCUUUGUCUUCUCAUGCAAAUUGCUCUCAGAGCUCAGAACCUACUCCUGAAGGGAAAGAAUCAUCAUGGAGUGAUCUGGUUAAGUUUGAGGAUUUAUUUAUAUAAUUGAACUGAUUGGAAGCUAUGCAGUGUCGGCCCCCACCCGAGCAGCUUCAUGAAACGGUGGAAAGAGUUGGAAGAAGUCAUAGAUACUUGCUAUAGGAGCUUCAUGAAGUAUGGAGAGGUAUGGCAUAGAUACUUGCAGUGUCUGAAUUUCCCAAAUCCAAUUUCAGAUUGUGUACUUAGAUUCGUGGAACUUGUUUUCUUGCUUUUUGUUAGGUACAAUUGAGAUGGGCUGAACCGCAAGGCCCGCCAGGAUGAACAAUAUAAUGGGCCUGAAUUUUAAACCAGUGGAUGGGCUUUGGACUGGAUUCAGCUGUCUGAGCCCAAUGAGUAUUGAAUGUGUUUCUGUAUAAAAUUAAAUUUUUAACAUUGAAAUAUAAGGACUUACUUAAAAACACAUUUGGUAACUUUUUUUUUUUGGUUAAUAAUAGAUUGUUUAAAAAAAAAUUAAAAAAAUAUUAUUUUUUAGAAUAAAUUUGAGGCAUGUUUAGGUAUUUUUCGUGGUAAAGAGUUUAGAAGCAAUGAGAAUAUAUAUAGAAUACUUUAAAACUUUUGCAUAAUACUUACUUACAUGAUGCUUUCAUAAAAAAUAAAUCAAUAAAAACAAUUUUCAUAGUUGAAUUUCAAAACAUAAAACAACUCAGAAUUGUUUUUAAGAAUUGUUCUUAGAAAUAGUUUUCUAUUAAGUCACAUUCAAGGAAUCGUUUUCAUAUAUGCAAGUAAUGGAAUGAAUGUGAUGAAAAAUAAAAAAUAAAAAGUAAGGGGAAAGAUAUUGUAAAUAAAGUGUUUUUAUCGUGGUUCAAUGACCUAUCCACUUCCACACCUUGAUGUAUUUCACAAUUUUAAAAGUUUUCUUAAUCAUGAUUCUCCUUAUUAUUCUUUAUGUCGAGAUUUUUUAAGUUUUAAUAGACUUUUUCAAUCACUAAGGUGGUGUUUGCUUUUUCACUUAAUUUUAAAUAUAACUUAAAACUAAAUAAUACUUAAUAGUAUCAACUAUUAAGUUGUUUGUUUCUAUAACAGUUUAUUUCUAUAUAAUAUUAAAAAGUAAAGAAAAAUCAACAUGCUAUUUUUGUCAUUUAAAAAAAGUCAAAUAUUUUGAAUUUUUUUAUUUAGCUAAAAAUUUAUAAUAAAUCCUAAAAAGAUAAAUAAUAAUAAUAAUAAAUAAAUAAAUAAAUAAAAACAAAUAAACAACUUAAAGUCUAAAAACAAAUUGUUGUCAACAAAAAAUUAAAAAAACAAGCACUUUCUAAAUAAGAUUCCUUAACCACUCGUACAAUAGCUCCUUUAAGCACAAGAUGUAAUGAAUGAAUACAACUUUGGUGAAAUAACUAAAGUGCUCACAAUGAGAAAAUAAACAAGUUUGGAUUCAAUAUAAUUUUUGGCUAUCUAAUUAAAAGGGUAAUUGAAAACCCAAUUUUGGAAAUAUAACCCUUCAUCAUUUUUUUUACCUCAUUUUAAUAAAAAUACUCUUAUUAUUUUCUUAUAAAAAUAAUCAUUUCUUUUAAAACAUACUAUAAAUACUUCAAAUAAUCAAGAGCAUUUAUGUAAAAAAUGAAUUACUCUUCAAAUAAAAAUAUUGGAGGGAAUAAAUUCACAAAUAUAUGGGGUAUUUCAUCCCUUCUAACUAAUUAUUUCUAUAAUUUAAAGAGUUUAAGAAGGCAAGACAACUAAAUAAAUGAAGUUUUCAAGUUAUUGUCUCUAUCAUAAAUAAAGUCCAAUAAUCACAUUUGUAUCGUUUUGUACAAAGACUAAUUAUUAGGCAUAUUUUGUAAAAACACUAAUUAUUAGACACAUUUUUCGCUCAAUCAAACAAUCACACAGUUGACUAGAAACUAGUUGUUGGACAUUUUUUUUUAUAAUCAUUGGAAGACAAGAAUACAAUCGACUACUUUAAUCAAUUAAGCAAUCAUACAGUCGACUAUAAACUAGUCAUUGGACAUUUUUUUUAAAAUCAUUGGAAGACAGGAAUACAAUCGAUCACUUUGGUCAAUUAAUCAAUUAUUCAAGAAAUUUAGAAAAAUAUUGGAUAAACGACAUAUAGUGGAUUAUUUCAAAUUGAAACUUAAGAUCGGAAAUCUUGCUUUUAAAUCAUGUAAAACACAAGUUUUUAUCUUUGAAGUAAUCAAUCUCAUUUUUAACAAAAAAAAUCAUUAAUAAUAUAUGAAUGAAUUCUUUUAAAAAAUGUGAUUAUUUUUCAUUCCCAAAUACUUAUGUUCUAAAGGUCAAUUUUAAAGCAUACUUGUCCCUACUAUGCCUUAUAAGAGAAUAUAUUCUAUACAUGUGAUAUUGUAAAAAAGUUUAAAAAAUAAAUAAAUAAAUAAAUAAAACCUCUUUUGUUUUCCUCUUUUGACUAUAUAUCAUCAUUAUCAUACUUAAAAUUAAAUAUUCAAUCAAAAUAUUAUUUUAUUAUCAUCAAAAUUUAAAUUUAACCAAACUUUAGGCUAGUACGUUGAUAUGACAAGUUAAUUUUCUAUCUUAAAGUUUUAAAAACUUUGAAAUUAAACAUUUUCUUACACAUUUAUUUUUAAAGUUUUUAGCAUAAAAUUUAAAAUAAAAAAAUACAUUAUUUUCAAAUUCAUUUUGAAAAUUUUUAUUUUAAAAAUAAAAAAUUUAAUAAAAAAAAAUGCAGGCCAGUUUUUUUUCCCUCUUUUUACCCUACAGUUUAAUUAAUUUGAGGUUAGAGGAAAGCUAUGAAAGAAAGAAAAUAAAAAUAAAAAAGAAAAUGAAAGAAUGAAAAAUAUAGCAAAAAAAUUUAAAAGAAAAAAUCUACAAGCUAAUAUUUUUUUCUUAUUUGAGAUGAUAUUUUAUAUUUAGCUUUACUACAAGCUAAAGUCACCAAAACCAUGAUCACAAAAGGGUAAUAUUGAUAUAAUGAAAGAUUAUGAAAAAAAAAAAGUUCUAUAACAAGCAAUAUUUGCUUGACUUUCAUUUAAAAAAAUUUAAAAUCAAAAUACUUUUAGUAAAAUUAUCUAAACAUGUCAAACCUAAACGAAGUGAGUGUUUCAUAUUAAGUUAUUUUUUAAGCCAAAAAACUUAUUUUAAUAGAAUUAAUCACAUAGAUAAAAAGUUGCUAUCGUGGUGGGAAAAAGGUUUUCUUUCAUUUAUUAAAUGCUAAUAAAUUUUGAAUUAUUGAAUUCAUAAAUCUUUUAAUAAAGGUCUCAUUACGUUACAUCUAAGGUUUUAUUGUGUUGGCAUCUUAUGUCUGGUGUUAUUAUUUAUUUUAUAUCCAUUUUAUUGUUUUAUAGUUUAAUCUCAUUUGAUUGUACUAUCAUUAAAUAAUCUAAAUUUGAUUACUAUGAGAUUUUAAAGUUAGAUAUGAUGUCAAUCAUGGUAUAGAUUUUGAAAGAUAUUAUCAAAUCAAAUAUUUAGGGUAUUUGAUAAAUCAAUUUAAUAACUUAAAAUGAUUUAAUAAUUUAUUUAUAUUAAUUUAAAGUUUUCAAAUAAAUUUUUUUAUAAAUAUAAUUUUAGAUUUAAGUAAAGAUAAGUUAAUUUUAAAUUUUAAAUUAAAAUAAUUAACUCAUUCUUAGUUAAAUCUAAAACUAUAUUUAAAAUAAAUAAAAACAGAGAUGGAUAUAAAUUAAGUCAAUAACUCACUUUAAAUCAUUGACUUGAUUUACCAAACACUUCAAAAUCUCACAUUUACAAGACCUGAAGUGGAUCCUUUUCAAUGAAUAUUGUCAUAUUUGUUGGAGUGUACCCAAAAUCCAAAUAUUUCAGUCUUUUUUCUCUUUAUUUCAUUUUAAAAUAAAAUAAUAAUCAUUAUACCAUGAACUUUCAAAAGUACCAUCAUUAUGUCAGUGGAGAUGGGAAGCUGAAAGCCUGAAACAAAUCAAUGGUGAAAGACACCAGUUUUCCAACAACAAAAAAGGCCAAAUCUGAUUCCAACUCAUCCAGUCUAUCUGUGCACUUUGACAACUGAAACACUUUAUUCCAAUUCACAUUUCACUAGAAAUUCCAUUCCAUAUCUACUCAAUAUUCACUGAAAAGGGUUUACAAUGAAAUAACAACUNNNNNNNNNNNNNNNNNNNNNNNNNNNNNNNNNNNNNNNNNNNNNNNNNNNNNNNNNNNNNNNNNNNNNNNNNNNNNNNNNNNNNNNNNNNNNNNNNNNNGAAAUUCAAAGAGCAACACUACUAACAUCUCAGAAUCCUCUGUGCAAUCACUACCAAAACUUUUCCUUACACAUGAAUGAAGAAAUGAGGCUGUACAUAUAUAAUCUGCGGAUGACAACAUGCAAGAAUGCAAAUGGGGGAAAUGGGGAAACAAAUAUUCUAGACAGGGUCUUAUUGGAAAGAAUCUAGGAUUGGGGCUUGAAGAAAAAUGGAAGAAUGGCAUCAUAAGACUGCAGUCUGAGUGGGAGAAGAAUUCAGGCGGGAGAGACAGGUUGAAGAUGAGUUCAGUAAUGAGCUCUCAAGGCUUGGGCAUGGUUCAGGGAACACCCAUUGGGAGAACCCAGAGACAUUUGAGCAAACCCAAGAGAUGGAGGCAGGAGGAGUAGUUGAUAGGGAGAUGUUGGAUAGACAAAUGGAAGUGAACGGGGAUUCUUGAAUACCAGUGAAGCUUCCAGCAAUGGUUAUGUUUGUGCCGAUCACAUUCUGCAAGGUGAUGUGAUCCAAGACAGGGAGUGCAUUGGGGUCAAAAUGGUCAUCUGGGUGGGAGCCGAUUUGGCCUGUUGCACUGAAGGCUGUGUGGAUGUUUUCCAUUGCGACAUCUGAUAUGAUGAUUUCUUGGAUAUAACCACCUCUUCCCUUGGUAGUUCUGAACUCGAUGCCACUGAAUGAGUUGUAUAGGUGGACCUGCUCCACACAGACGUUAGAAAUGCCACCAGACAUCUCACUACCGAAGGCCAGGGAAGAGCCAGAUGAUGAUUGAAGGUUGACCCGUCUGAUGUGUACAUUUGUGGUGGGUCUACCAUAGGCAAUGCCAUAUUCAUCCCAGCCACUCUUGAGUGCAAUGGCAUCAUGGCCCAUGGCAAUGCUGCAAUCCUCUAUGCAGGUGCUAUCUGAAGAAUCUGAAAUCAAAACAUUAUACAAAGUUGACUUAGCAAAAUUCUUUUCAUGACUGAACCCUUCCUGAACAUAGAAAAAAGUAAAAUUAUAAUCUACAUGAACCACUAAACAAACCACAGGUAACAACCUGUUUCCUCUUUCAACAAAUAUCCCUAUCAAUAUACUUAAACAUUCAUAUAUACAUUAAAAACUAAUAUAGAUUUUCAGAAAUAUCUUACCAAUCGGAAGAGGGUUCAAACAAUAAACAAAGACAAAACAAUUCUAGCACUGAUAAUUAAAGAUCCAAAAGUUUAUCAAAUUUAGUAAAAAGAAACAGACCAAAACCUACAAAAUUAUUGUUAAACAAGUGAAAAACAAAACAUUAAAUUAUCUAUUAUCACUCUUGGAGACUGACGGUAUGAAAAUAAGUUCAAAUGCCUCAGAUUCCUUCACCUCCAUUCUUAAUUCCUAGCCUCUUCAACAACCAAGUUUCAAGUACCUUAAUUCGUCCAUCUCCAGAACUGAUAGCAAAGAAGUCCAAAGAAGGGGUAAAGGUUGUUAAUAAAUCUCGGAUAUUCGAUGGGCCCAUGGUCCUGUAUCAAAAGAAUAAAUUAAAUGUCAAAGUCCUUACAAUUCAUAAUUUACAAAUUAGAAAUGAAAUUGUAGAUAUACGAGAGGUGUUCCAAGACGUUAUUAAGGGAGAUUGACUGUAACUGCCUAUUGAUAAAGAAACAAAACAACUUACCAUGACGAAAAUAAUAUAGCUCAAAAUCACAGUAGGAAGUGCCAAAAAAAGGUGGCAAUCCUCUGAAACAUAUGAUGAAGAAGAUAUAAAAAAAUAUAUAAGAAAGACACAGCAUUAAAAAUUUUAAAGCUCGCCAAUAUGUUGCCAAUCCAGUAAAUCAUUUCAUUAACUAAACUGAUUCAGCACUUAAGCUCUAAUAACCUUUGUUUGGUAGCCGAGAAAAUGGAAGAGAAGGAGGAAAAAAAUGCAAUAUCAUGCUAUCUGUUACUGAAUCAAGCCAAACAAUUCAGUUAAACUUGGCUGAACAGCAGUUUUAGCUUUCUUAGCCUGAAUAACGAAAAUUCAAGAUUUUAUCUAUUUUACUUUCCUGCAUUUUCUCAGCUUCCCGGUUUGUCUACGGACAAACUAGAGGAAAAUAAAAUAAAAAAUAAAAAGAAAACUAAAACCAGGUAUUUUCAGUUGUUCUCCAUAAAAAGCAAACGAAAAAUCAACAGAACUAAAUCCUGAGCAAUUACCGAUCCGGCUCAGGCUGAAUUUCCGGUUCUCUUAGAAAAUAUUAUAUAGCAGUUCCAAUAAGGGACCGUCGUGCAUCAUUAUACUAAUUUUCCUCCGUUUUUCGGCAACCAAACAGAGGAUAAACUUGUUUUGAGGAGAAGAUGCACGCUUACCUGUUUUGGCGACCGGCGGCGGCGAGAUGCAAAGAAAAAGAGAGAACGAGAGAGGGGUUUUACCUGUUUUGGCGACCGGCAGCGGCUAGAAGCAAAGAAAAAGAGAGAACGAGAGUGGGGUUUUAGGAACGCAGCCGCGUAGCUGCUCAUUUCGCAAGGGCCCCUUUUUUAUUUCUUUUUCUUUUUUUUCAAUUUUAGGAUUUUUCAUUUUAGCCUCCAUAUUUGAGUGUAUUUAGAUUUGUGGAACCUGUUUUGGGGCUUUUUGUUAGGUACAAUUGAGAUGGGCUGAACCGAAAAGCCCGCCAGGAUGAACAACAUUAAUGGGCCUGAAUUUUAAACCUAUGAAUGGGCUUUAUACUGGAUUCAGCUGUCUGAGCCCAAUGAGUAUUGAAUGUGUUUCUGUAUAAAAUUAAACUUUUAACAUUGAAAUAUGAGGACUUACUUAAAAACACAUUUGGUAACUUUUUUUUUUGGUUAAUAAUGGACUUUAAGAAAAAAUUAAAAAUAUAUUAUUUUUUAGAAUAAAUUUGAGGCAUGUUUAGGUAUUUUUUGUGGUAAAGAGUUUUGAGAAGCAAUAGAAAAUAUAUAGAAUACUUUAAAAACUUUUGCAUAAGAUACUUACUUACACGAGGCUUUCAUGAAAAAUAAAUCGAUAAAAACAAUUUUCAUAUUUGAAUUGCGAAACAUAAAACAACUCAAAACUGUUUUUAAGCAUUGUUCUUAAAAAUAGUUUUCUAUUAAGUCACAAUCAAGGAAGCUUUUAUCUUUUAUUUUUCUAUGUUUCAUCCUUGCAUAAAGGGAGUAUAAAGACUAAAGUUAAUCUAAUUAACAAAUUUGGAUAAUCAUCCAAUAAAUGAGUAAAUUAGGUGAUGAUCUCUUUAUAUAUGCAAGUAAUGGAAUGAAUGUGAUGAAAAAUAGAAAAAAGUAAGGGGAGAAAUGUUGUAAAUAAAGUGUUUUUAUUGUGGUUCAAUGACCAAUCCACUUCCACACCUUGACAUAUUUCACAAUUUUAAAAGUUUUCUUAAUCAUGAUUCUCCUUAUUAUUUUUUAAGUCCGGAUUUCUUAAGUUUCAAUAGACUUUUACAAUCACUAAGAUGGUGUUUAUUUUUUCACUUAAUUCUAAAUAUAAGUUAAAACUAAAUAAUAUUUAAUAAUAUCAAGUAUUAGGUUGUUUUUUUUUAUAACAUUUUAUUUUUAUAUAAUAUUAAAAAGUAAAGAAAAAUCAAUAUGUUAUUUUUUUCAUUUAAAAAAAGACAAAUAUUUUGCCUUUUUUUUAAGCUAAAAAUUUAUAAUAAAAAAAAAAAAGCAAACAAUUUAAAGUGUAAAACAGAUUGUUUUCAACAAAAAUUUAAAAAAACAAACACUUUCUAAAUAAGAUUCCUUAGCCACUUGUACAAUGGCUUCUUUAAGCACAAAAUGUAAUAAAUGAAUACAACUCUGGUGAAAUGACUAAAGUGCUCACAAUGAGAAGAUAAACAAGUUUGGAUUCAAUAUAAUUUUGGGUUAUCUAAUUAAAAUGGUCAUUGAAAACCCAAUUUUGGAAAUAUAACCCUUCGUCAUUUUUUUACCUCAUUUUAACAAAAAAAAGCUCUUAUUAUUUUCCUAUAAAAAUAAUCAUUCCUUUUAAAACACACUAUAAAUACUUCAAAUAGCCCAAGGUUUUUAUGUAAAAAAAAAUGAAUUACUCUUCAAAUAAAAAUAUUGGAGGGAAUAAAUUCACAAAUAUGGGUAUUUCAUCUCUUUUAACUAAUUAUUUCUAUAAUUUUAAGAGUUUAAGAAGGCUAGACAAAGACUAAUUAUUGGACUUUUUUUUUUAUAAUCAAUGGAAGACAGGAAUACAAUCGACUACUUUGAUCAAUUAAGCAAUUAUACAGUUGACAAUAAACUAGUCGUUAGACAUUUUUUUUUAUAAUAAUUGGAAGACAUGAAUACAAUCGAUUACUUUGGUCAAUUAAUCAAUUAUUUAAGAAAUUUAAAAAAAUAUUGGAUAAAAGAUAUAUAUAUAUAUAACGAAUUAUUUCAAAUUGAAACUUAAGAUCAGAAAUCGUGCUUUUAAUGUUGAAAAAUCAUGUAAAACACAAGUUUUUAUCUUUGAAGUAAUCAAUUCAUUUUUCACAAAAAAUCAUUAAUAAUACAUUAAUGAAUUCUUUUAAAAAAUCUUAUAAAAAAUGUGAUUAUUUUUCAUUCCCAAAUACUUAGGUUCUAAAGGUCAAUUUUAAAGCAUACUUAUCCUUACUAUGCCUUACAAGAAAAUCUAUUCUAUACAUAUGAUUUUGUAAAAAAGUGUAAAUAAAAAAAAUAAAAAAUAAAAAAUAAAAAAUAAAAAAAACCUCUCUUGUUUUCCUCUUUUGAUUGGAUAUCAUUAUUAUACUUAAAAUUAAAUAUUUAAUCAAAAUAUUAUUUUACUAUCAUCAAAAUUUAGAUUUAACCAAACUUUAGGCUAGUAUGUUGAUAUGACAAGUUAAUUUUCUAUCUUAAAGUUUUAAAAACUUUUGAAAUUAAACAUUUUCUUACACAUUUAUUUUUAAAGUUUUUAGCAUAAAAUUUAAAAUUAAAGCUUUUAAGGAAAAACCUCAUAAUACAAUAUACUAGAAAGACAUGGUCAAACAGAUAGAGAGGAAGCCUCGAAAGGAAGGGGCAAUGGUUGAACCACUUGACAUUGUUGCCUACUACUAAGAUGGUGUAAGAAACAACAUAACCAAUGGAACAUAUGCACAUUAAACAUUGUAUAAUUAUUAUAAAUGUCUUAUACAUUAUAUGUGAAAAUACGAAAAAAAAAAUAAAAUAAAAUUAUAUUCAACAUUUAUAUUUGUAUACAAACAAUAUUUUCAAUACUUUGAUAUAAAAAACAAAUUAAAAAAAUGAAGAAAAACAUAUAAAUAUAUUUACAAUGGACAAACUUAUUCAAUUAGUAUAAAUAUCUUGUAUAUUUAAUACAAAUACCUUAUACUUUGUGAAAAUGUAAAAAUAUAGUAUUUGAUAUUGAUACAUGUGGGUAAGUAAUUUUUCUAAUGGUUUGAUUUAAAAAACAAAUAAUGAGAAUCAAGAAAAACAUGCAAAUAAAUUAGUGUGAAUGAUAAAGGGUGUUUUUUACCAUAAAUUUUUAUGGACUUAGCAUCAAUUAUGCAUCUAUAGAUGUUAACCCAAUUAGCAUAAUGUGAAAACCCUUACACACAAUAUAUAAACCCUAUACUUGAAUUAGGAAGGACAAAAAAAAAAAUAGUUAGAGCAUUUGGUACCAUCAAUGAUGACUUCACCUAAAGAAAAGUUAAUGAACAUUAUGUUCUCAAUGGAAGAGCAACCCUAGUAGGACAUAUGGAGUAAAUUGAUGCUCUUCUUUCGACAACGAAGUAGCUAAGUCAUGAAAAUGGGGUUUUGCUAACAACAUUAAAUGCAAGAAUUCCCCAAUAUACUGCAAUUCAUAUUCAAUUCAUAGACUUUCAACUAACUACUCUCAAUAACGAGCAAACCCAAGUCAAUACAUAAGAUUGAUUAUUACUUAUGAUAAUUGAAACCCUAAUUAAUAAAUAAGGACACAAAUAUAUGUAUAUAUAUAUAUAUAUAUAUAUAUAUAUAUAUAAAAUAGAGACAAUUGUGUUUUGGACCCAGGUGGAUCAAAAAUUAAGGUUUGGUUCAUAAAACUUACAUAAUUGAUGGAAAUGAUAUAAGUUAUCAAAAUACCAAAAUACUCAUUGAUCUUUCACGUAAGCUUUUUUUGUCUUUAUUGCACCACUAUUCAUGCAACCAUAAUAAUUCUAUUUUAACUAUUUGGAUUUUUCAUUAUUUUUUAAAACUUUUUUUUUAUAAAUAAUUGAAAAUCAACAUUAUUUUCUAUUUUAAAUUAUAAAUAAAGAAAAAUUACGUUCAAAAACUAUUUUAAAAAAUAAUUUCUAAAAAAAUGGUAAUAUGAUUUAUAUUUUUUAUAUUUUCUUUUAGAAAAAAAUAUUUAAUUAAAAAAUGAAAAAUAUUUUUCAAAAUAAAAAUUGAAAACCUUGUUUAGUACUAUUUUUUUAUAUGAAAAUAAUAAAAAUAAUUAAUUUAUUAUCCAUUCAAUUUUAUAUGAAAAUUUUUUAUAAGAGUAAAAAGAUUCAAUAUCUUUAAUAAAAGAAAAAAAAAACAAAACAAAAAGUUAGAAAUAAGUAAUACUUAAUUAGGAAUAGAAAAAGGGAAAAAUUUUGAAAUUUACACUCACUAUAUGCCUAUGUAGGGAUUAAAGGUAUUUUAUGAAUUAAUGAAGGAUAAUAUUUUUUAACUUAAUUUUUACAAUUUAUUUGGGUCUUGGGCUUAAAUGUGAAUGAUAUAUGGAUCUUUAGUCAAUUUUUGGGCCCAUCCGGGCCCAAAACACAAUUCUCCCUAAAAAACUAUUUAUUAAAAUCAAUAAACUAAUAAAAACCAUUUAGAGAGUUUCAUAACUUAGUGUCGAAGCUAUUGUAAGAAAUAAGUAUUAUAUAAUGUAGAGUUUAGGUUUAAAGUCUACCUAAGAUUAAAUUUAAGUCUUAAGACAAAUUCACAUUCAAAACUAGGUUUUUAAGUUAGAAAAAUAGAUCUCUUAAACCAAUUAAAUGGUAAAAAAAAUUACAAAGAAAAUUUCUCUUGCUGGUUUCUUCAUCUUGAAAACUAACGGAAACAUAUAUCAAUAUUUGGUAUGAAAAUUCGUAACCUUAGAAACACAGCUUUGGGUCUUGCUGAGAAAAACAAAGCUUAUUUGCUCGUAGACCAUCCUGGUGGUCAUCAUACCGUGUGAGAACCGGGGAAGCAUCUUUUCUCGUAGACCGGCUUUUGUAGUCUUUCUUUAACAAUUACAAGUUGUCAGGAUUCCCUUCAUCCUCCUAUAUAAUAUUGUUUUUGGUCUUGUUCUGGUUGUAUCUCCGUGGAAGAAAGGAAGAUGAAUCAAGUUCCUUUGUAAGUAUCAAUGUCUCUGAUUCAUUUUUUGGUUCCUAGAAUCGAAUCCUCGCUUUGUUCUUGCUUAAUUUCUCCUUUUUCUGUUGGGUCUUUCACUGCAGGUUUAGCUCUGCACGGGAACUGGCAAAUUUGGUGCUGAGCUCCAAUCUAAUCGACUGUGCUUUGACCAAAAUUCUUGAACUUAACAGAGACCAAACAGCCUUGCCUGUUCAAUACAGACUUUUUCAACUGUCUUCCAAGUGCACAAUUGUAGCUUUUGUCUCUUCACCUGACUGCACUCAAUACCCUCUUCCUGGACAAGGAGAUUUAGAUCGGUCUCCUCUCUUUGACUUCCUCCGUACCGAAGAAUACCCGUCCGUCUCCAUUAACAGAGCAGCAUUAACCCUCUAUACCCCUCUCCAUGAUCAUCUCUCUGGACUAACAGAUGAGGUCAAAAUCUGAUACUUGUUUGAAUUUUCGUUUCCUUUUCGUUAACAAUUGUGAGACACGAAACAGCUUGACCAUGAGAUCUCCCUCAUGGAGUCGAACUACCUGAAGGAUAAGACGUCACACAUAUCCAUUUUCAUGGCAUCGUCACAUGACCCAUUGAUCGGUUGUGAUUCAACUCUUAACAGGAAUACAGUAGAACUGGUGUUGGUAUCUGUCUUUAGAUAAGCUUGCAUAUAUCUUGUCACUGAAAAAGGAAUGUUCAGAAGUGAGAUUAGUGGCAUUAUUCUGACAUGGAUUUCAUAUGGUUACUUGUUUUGCAGUUGACUCAGAUUGAAGGUCAGUUAAUCAUCACUGGGUACUCCCUGGGAGGAUCCGUUGCUUCUCUCUUCACCUUACGCCUGCUAGAUGGCAAUUUAUUAAAGCCCAAAUGCCGCCCCUUUUGUAUCACCUUUGGUUCACCCCUCAUAGGCGACUUUGGCCUCCAACACUCCAUAUGGAAUUCUUUCUUCCUGCAUGUAGUGUCUAACCAAGACCCAGUCCCCGGACUCUUCCUCCCAUCCGGCAGAUCUCCGCCCACAUCCUCCCAUUCACAAACUACCGGUUACAAGCCCUUCGGGACAUAUCUCUUGUGCUCUGAACUUGGUUGUGCUUGUUUUGACAACCCUGAUUUAAUUUUGGGAUUGCUUAAAGUCAUAUCAUCAGAGGUUGCCGGAGGAUUGCAGGAUGUUGAUUAUGGGGAGAUUUUAAGAAACCUCAAGGAGAGGGCAAUCUGCAAGGGACUGCCGCAGGUGGGUGAACGGUUUGCAGAUCCAUUUUCAGCUGGGAUCGUCAUGGAACUUGAGACAAUUGGAUUUAAUCAAACAAAGGUAAACAGCUUUCUCCCAUCUAAUGAUGUUAUGAAACAUGGUUUACACUUCACCAAAUACUGCAAUAACUGCCCUAUUCAGAUUUAUCUUCUUGUUCUUUGGGAUCUUCCAUAACUCGUCUCAUUUUUAAAAUUCAUGGCAGCUGCUGCAGCAUAACAUUGAUAUCAACGCUAUGAUAAGAACAAUGGAAGCUGAAACCAGAAGCCUAAUCCAGAAAAAUAAAGCUUCCGAUGCCAAGAAACUGAAUGACAUAAAAAGAGACAUGGCCCAUCUAGAAUGGUAUAAGAAGAAAUCGGAAAUGGGUUACUACGAUUGCUUCAAAAAUCAGGGGUCUAAAAGGGACAUCAACGUUGAACAGUUUAGGGGAAACCUCACAAUGUACUGGGAAGACAUGGUUGCACAAGUACAGAGGAAGCCCCAGAAGGAAGGAGCAACAUUUCGAACCCGUUGGCUCUAUGCAGGGACAGUUUAUAGGAGAAUGGUUGAACCACUGGACAUUGCUGCCUUCUACAGAGAGGG
Molecule: long non-coding RNA, 34510 nt
Filed under: Vitis vinifera (wine grape)
Lineage: Eukaryota; Viridiplantae; Streptophyta; Magnoliopsida; Vitales; Vitaceae
Description: long non-coding RNA (VVIN_LNC001268)
Source: RNAcentral